RNAcentral lists this ribosomal RNA (252 nucleotides) under uncultured bacterium. RNAcentral's name for it is "partial 16S ribosomal RNA". It matches the Rfam family "Bacterial small subunit ribosomal RNA", at positions 524 to 776 of the family's 1533-position model. The record is from RNAcentral.
UACGUAGGGGCGAGCGUUGUCCGGAUUUAUUGGGCGUAAAGAGCUCGUAGGCGGCUUGGCAAGUCGGGUGUGAAACCUCCAGCUCAACCUGGAGACGCCACUCGAUACUGCCAUGGCUAGAGUCCGGUAGGGGACCACGGAAUUCCUGGUGUAGCGGUGAAAUGCGCAGAUAUCAGGAGGAACACCGGUGGCGAAGGCGGUGGUCUGGGCCGGCACUGACGCUGAGGAGCGAAAGCGUGGGUAGCAAACAGG